Molecule: non-coding RNA, 139 nt
Organism: Macaca mulatta (Rhesus monkey)
Lineage: Eukaryota; Metazoa; Chordata; Mammalia; Primates; Cercopithecidae
Source: Rfam
AUUGUCACUGCUGCUCCAAGGGCACACGCAGAGGGAUUUGGAAUUCCUGGAGAGUUGCCUUUGUGAGAAGCUGGAAAUAUUUCUUUGAAUUCCAUCUCUUAGUUUUCCAUGUAAGUGUUCAGUUUACAUUUGGGUUGCA